UACGUAGGGUGCGAGCGUUAAUCGGAAUUACUGGGCGUAAAGCGUGCGCAGGCGGCUUUGCAAGACAGAUGUGAAAUCCCCGGGCUCAACCUGGGAACUGCAUUUGUGACUGCAAGGCUAGAGUACGGCAGAGGGGGAUGGAAUUCCGCGUAUAGCAGUGAAAUGCGUAGAUAUGCGGAGGAACACCAAUGGCGAAGGCAAUCCCCUGGGCCUGUACUGACGCUCAUGCACGAAAGCGUGGGGAGCAAACAGG
This 253-nucleotide ribosomal RNA is filed under the name uncultured bacterium. Its description in RNAcentral is "partial 16S ribosomal RNA". It matches the Rfam family "Bacterial small subunit ribosomal RNA", at positions 524 to 776 of the family's 1533-position model. The record is from RNAcentral.